This 465-nucleotide ribosomal RNA is filed under the name uncultured bacterium. Its description in RNAcentral is "partial 16S ribosomal RNA". It matches the Rfam family "Bacterial small subunit ribosomal RNA", at positions 28 to 507 of the family's 1533-position model. The record is from RNAcentral.
GACGAACGCUGGCGGCGUGCUUAACACAUGCAAGUCGUACGGUAAGGCCCUUUCGGGGGUACACAAGUGGCGAACGGGUGAGUAACACGUGAGUAACCUGCCCACAACUUUGGGAUAACGCUAGGAAACUGGUGCUAAUACUGGAUAUGUGCCCCUGCUGCAUGGUGGGGGUUGGAAAGCUCCGGCGGUUGUGGAUGGACUCGCGGCCUAUCAGCUUGUUGGUGGGGUAGUGGCCUACCAAGGCGGCGACGGGUAGCCGGCCUGAGAGGGUGACCGGCCACAUUGGGACUGAGAUACGGCCCAGACUCCUACGGGAGGCAGCAGUGGGGAAUAUUGCACAAUGGGCGCAAGCCUGAUGCAGCAACGCCGCGUGCGGGAGGACGGCCUUCGGGUUGUAAACCGCUUUCAGCAGGGACGAAGCUUUUUGUGACGGUACCUGCAGAAGAAGCACCGGCUAACUACGUG